UACAGAGGGUGCGAGCGUUAAUCGGAAUUACUGGGCGUAAAGCGUGCGUAGACGGUUAUUUAAGUCCGCUGUAAAAGUCCAGGGCUCAACCCUGGAAAGCCGGUGGAUACUGUCGGGCUAGAGUCCGGAAGAGGCGAGUGGAAUUCCUGGUGUAGCGGUGGAAUGCGCAGAUAUCAGGAGGAACACCGAUGGCGAAGGCAGCUCGCUGGGACGGUACUGACGCUGAGGCGCGAAAGCGUGGGGAGCGAACAGG
This 253-nucleotide ribosomal RNA is filed under the name uncultured bacterium. RNAcentral describes it as "partial 16S ribosomal RNA". It matches the Rfam family "Bacterial small subunit ribosomal RNA", at positions 524 to 776 of the family's 1533-position model. The record is from RNAcentral.